RNAcentral lists this unclassified non-coding RNA (311 nucleotides) under uncultured fungus. RNAcentral's name for it is "partial contains small subunit ribosomal RNA, internal transcribed spacer 1, and 5.8S ribosomal RNA". The stretch from base 1 to 73 matches the Rfam family "Eukaryotic small subunit ribosomal RNA", at positions 1759 to 1831 of the family's 1831-position model. The record is from RNAcentral. Lineage: Eukaryota; Fungi.
GCAAACUUGGUCAUUUAGAGGAAGUAAAAGUCGUAACAAGGUCUCCGUUGGUGAACCAGCGGAGGGAUCAUUAUAGAGUUUUCUAAACUCCCAAACCCAUGUGAACUUACCAUUGUUGCCUCGGCAGAACCUACCCGGUACCUACCCUGGAACUAGCUACCCUGUAGCUACCCAGGAACGGGCUACCCUGUAACGUCCUGCCGGUGGACUUCUAAACUCUUGUUAUUUAUAGUAAUCUGAGCGUCUUAUUUUAAUAAGUCAAAACUUUCAACAACGGAUCUCUUGGUUCUGGCAUCGAUGAAGAACGCAGC